This 432-nucleotide ribosomal RNA is filed under the name uncultured bacterium. Its description in RNAcentral is "partial 16S ribosomal RNA". It matches the Rfam family "Bacterial small subunit ribosomal RNA", at positions 29 to 507 of the family's 1533-position model. The record is from RNAcentral.
ACGAACGCUGGCGGCAUGCCUAACACCUGCAAGUCGAACGAGACCUUCGGGUCUAGUGGCGCACGGGUGCGUAACGCGUGGGAACCUGCCCUUAGGUUCGGAAUAACUCCCCGAAAGGGGUGCUAAUACCGGAUAAUGUCUUCGGACCAAAGAUUUAUCGCCUUUGGAUGGGCCCGCGUUGGAUUAGCUAGUUGGUAGGGUAAAAGCCUGCCAAGGCGACGAUCCAUAGCUGGUCUGAGAGGAUGAUCAGCCACACUGGGACUGAGACACGGCCCAGACUCCUACGGGAGGCAGCAGUGGGGAAUAUUGGACAAUGGGCGAAAGCCUGAUCCAGCAAUGCCGCGUGAGUGAUGAAGGCCUUAGGGUUGUAAAGCUCUUUUACCCGGGAUGAUAAUGACAGUACCGGGAGAAUAAGCUCCGGCUAACUCCGUG